Molecule: long non-coding RNA, 857 nt
Filed under: Hordeum vulgare
Lineage: Eukaryota; Viridiplantae; Streptophyta; Magnoliopsida; Poales; Poaceae
Description: long non-coding RNA (HVUL_LNC009928)
Source: RNAcentral
UUUGAAGACUUUGACUCAAGACUUUCUCAUUUGAGAGCAGCCCAUCCUUUGACGACUUUGAAAGAAAAUCAUCAGCAAGGAAAAACCCAAAAUCCAAAACCAAAAAUCCAAAGUGAUUGAGCAUCACUAAAGACAUUGUUCCUAUAUGGAACCGACGCUUGUGACCUUUGUAGACUUUGUAUCUUCCAGGUGGUUAGGCAUCAUGAUCUAGAGUACCUAAUUGGAAAUUGUGCAUUGUCGGGUGGCCGAGUUUGUGAGGGUUUCGAAGUCUAUCCUAAAGACUUACCACGAGUGUUGGCGAGGUCUGUGUGACCUUAGCUCAAGGAGAAUACGGUAACGAUUGUGUGUCUUGGGACUGUGUGUCCUUUGGUUUAAAUACCAAGCCACUCCAAACGAGACGUAUGACUGUGAGAGCAGUUGGAAUUGGGUCAUCAAACCAUUGUCUUCACUGAGCUCCUGGUUCUAUUUCCUCAACUCUUUCAUUUCCUCGAAUACUUGUUGAUGAAAUUGAUUGUUACUGUUUGAGGACUUUGACUCAAGACUUUCUCAAUUUCCUCAUCUAAAAUUCUUCAUCACCUUGUUCUUCACGUGUUUAUCCUGUUUACACGCUAUCACACUGUGUAUGUUUCAUUUUGUUAUGACCACUAUGCUGCCAUGUCAUCCUUACACCUGAGUACUUAUUCCGCUGCAAGUAGUUCGUCACUUAGCAAAUUCCUCAAGUAAAAAUUCAUGAGUGACGAAUUUGUAAAAAUUGCCUAUUCGCACCCCCUGUAGUUGAUAUAACACACUUUCACAUCUCCUGGUCAUCCAAGCAAGGGCACAUGGUUUUGCGAUCCAAUCAUGGCAGAGUAUUGUGG